UCCAGACUCCUACGGGAGGCAGCAGUGAGGAAUAUUGGUCAAUGGGAGGAAUCCUGAACCAGCCAUGCCGCGUGCAGGACGACGGCUCUACGAGUUGUAAACUGCUUUUGUACCGGGGUAAAAUGCCUUACGAGUAGGGUUUUGAAAGUACGGUACGAAUAAGGAUCGGCUAACUCCGUGCCAGCAGCCGCGGUAAUACGGAGGAUCCGAGCGUUAUCCGGAUUCAUUGGGUUUAAAGGGUGCGUAGGUUGUUUUAUAAGUUAGCGGUGAAAUACCGAUGCUCAACAUCGGGGCUGCCGCUAAUACUGUAGGACUAGAGAUCGGAUGCAGCAGGCGGAAUGUGUAGUGUAGCGGUGAAAUGCUUAGAUAUUGCGCAGAACUCCGAUUGCGAAGGCAGCAUACCGGCGGCGAUCUGACGCUGAGGCACGAAAGCGUGGGUAUCGAACAGGAUUAGAUACCCCCGUAUA
Molecule: ribosomal RNA, 467 nt
Filed under: uncultured bacterium
Lineage: Bacteria
Description: bacterial SSU rRNA
Rfam family: Bacterial small subunit ribosomal RNA
Source: RNAcentral